UGUCGAAAUCUUCAUUCACAAUCACCAGAUCAAUAUAUUUUUCGUAAGCACGCUGCAAGGCCGCAGAUUCUUCCAACGUAGCCUUCAAAUCAUCUUCCUGAAUCAAUAAGAAAUAAAUUUAAUUUAAUUUUGAAAAGUUUGAGUGGUAAAUUUUUAGCAGUUACUAUAUAUCUACAAGCAAUUACACUACAUUAAAAAAAU
Molecule: long non-coding RNA, 201 nt
Organism: Apis dorsata (giant honeybee)
Lineage: Eukaryota; Metazoa; Arthropoda; Insecta; Hymenoptera; Apidae
Exons: 2
Source: RefSeq, a predicted model, not a curated record